Molecule: long non-coding RNA, 470 nt
Organism: Archocentrus centrarchus (flier cichlid)
Lineage: Eukaryota; Metazoa; Chordata; Actinopteri; Cichliformes; Cichlidae
Exons: 4
Source: RefSeq, a predicted model, not a curated record
GAAGAAGUUGGCGCCAACAGCCACACUUUGCCUCCUUUUUUGGCGUACCUCACAGUUCCAAGCUGGCAAAAACCACUGGAUUACAAGAGUGUCUUUGGAAUAAAAUCGCCAUACUUUCUACUGUUGUAAGGUUGCAAGAGCUAUGCCUUUAAGAAGAAGGUACAACACAGCCAACCAGGUACAUCCAUCUGUGAGUGCUGAUGGCAGUGCUGGAUCUGCACAGGUGGAACAACUUGACAAUGUAGAGGGUAAAGGAGAAACACCAGGAACUCCAUCUACGUUGGCUCCAACUGCUACAGCAAUAAUUCAGCAGCUAAGAGACAAAAUUACUGUCCUUGAAGAUGAAAGAAAUUUCCUCAGAGAACAGCUGAAAAAAGCACUGGAUAACAUCCCUACUACUUCAGCAAAACGACAUCAUUCCCCCUCAAGUUCCAGUUCCUCAGAUUCAUCAGCCUCAGACUCUGAGUCGU